CCUACGGGAGGCAGCAGUGAGGAAUAUUGGUCAAUGGACGCAAGUCUGAACCAGCCAAGCCGCGUGAAGGAAGACGGCUCUAUGAGUUGUAAACUGCUUUUGUACGAGGGUAAACGCACAUACGCGUAUCUGUCUGACAGUAUCGUACGAAUAAGGAUCGGCUAACUCCGUGCCAGCAGCCGCGGUAAUACGGAGGAUUCAAGCGUUAUCCGGAUUUAUUGGGUUUAAAGGGUGCGUAGGCGGUCGGUUAAGUUAGUGGUGAAAUCCCGAGGCUCAACUUCGGAAUUGCCUCUGAUACUGUGCGGCUAGAGAGUAGUUGCGGUAGGCGGAAUGUAUGGUGUAGCGGUGAAAUGCUUAGAGAUCAUACAGAACACCGAUUGCGAAGGCAGCGUACCAAGGUACAUCUGACGUUGAGGCACGAAAGCGUGGGGAGCAAACAGGAUUAGAUACCCCUGUAGUC
This 460-nucleotide ribosomal RNA is filed under the name uncultured bacterium. Its description in RNAcentral is "partial 16S ribosomal RNA". It matches the Rfam family "Bacterial small subunit ribosomal RNA", at positions 338 to 795 of the family's 1533-position model. The record is from RNAcentral.